This is a long non-coding RNA of Meriones unguiculatus (Mongolian gerbil), 868 nucleotides long. RefSeq lists it as uncharacterized. The record is from RefSeq and is a predicted model, not a curated record. The transcript is spliced from 4 exons. Lineage: Eukaryota; Metazoa; Chordata; Mammalia; Rodentia; Muridae.
CAUAGGUUUCACUCAUGCUGCCCUCCCCAGCCUUCGGAGGAAGUGCCUCUGCUUGACAGGCAGGGAAACUGAGGCAGGGGACAGUUCCAGAGUCUUCCAUGAGAAAGGCGAGCAGAUACCCUUAAUGGAGCACCUACGCCAUUUUAAACCUCAGGGCAUUCGCUGGGAGUAACACACGUCAAAUCCCUCUUGUCUGCCUAUGACCUCACAGGGGCGUGCAUGCUGAUAGGUCAGGCAGACACCAAAGCAUGGAAAUCUGGGAAGCUGGUGGCAUCCUCGGGAUGAAGAUGGGAAAGGAGCUGCCUGGAGCUACACAUGUCCUCCCUCCCCUGUUCCAGCAACUCCCAAGCCACCAGCAUCCCCAACCUGAACCGCUAUGACAGCCUCCUGGUCUGCUCUCUCCUACCUGUCUCCAUACAGAACCUUCUAAUGGCUUCUACUGCUGUCAGAACCAACCAUACCAUGCAUCUGGGUCUCCAACUCUGAUGCCACCCUUGCACGUCAGUUCCUCAGAGAUGUCAUCCUCCUCAUGAACCUGUUCCCCAGUCAGUAAUCAUGCAAGGUUGACUCUGGUGUUACCAGGAAGGUUUGAAGUUUCCCCGCAACAAAACGGUAAACCUGUAAGGUGAUGGAUAUGCUAAUUAUUAAUAAUGCAAUGUGUGCAUACAACAAAACCUCACAUUGUAACCCAUGAACUUGCAACAAUUAAUAUGCAUCAGCCCAAAAUGGAAUAAAGCUGAAACAAGGAUUGCCUCCAUCCCUCGUCCUCUAUCUCUGUGCCCUGCAGCAGCUCUGUCCCCUCAAGGGGCAGCUCCAGAAGGGCAGGAGCCAGGAGGUCAUGGUGUAGUUGGUGCUCAAUAAAAGCUAA